UCGCUCCUACUGAUUGAGUGAUCCGGUGAAUGGUUCGGAUUGCUGCAUUGCUCAGUUCAAGUAAGUUGCAGCGCAAAGUGUCGUAAACCUUAUCAUUUAGAGGAAGGUG
This 109-nucleotide ribosomal RNA is filed under the name uncultured eukaryote. Its description in RNAcentral is "partial small subunit ribosomal RNA". The record is from RNAcentral.